RNAcentral lists this unclassified non-coding RNA (239 nucleotides) under Hevea brasiliensis (rubber tree). Lineage: Eukaryota; Viridiplantae; Streptophyta; Magnoliopsida; Malpighiales; Euphorbiaceae. The record is from RNAcentral.
GUGUUUCCCAUUUUCACACAACAAUCAGUCAAAUUCAUAUCAUAAAUAUAUAAUUCUUCACUCUACAUGUGUGUUAUAAAUCUAUCUUCGACUAGAAUUAGGCGGAGAAUACUCACAAACUACCUCAGUUUCCACUUCCCUUCUGUGGAAAUUCCUGUGGCAGCCGCAAGCAGCACACAUAAGGGCUCCGGUAGUACCUUCCUCUCCACUUGCCAUGAAUUCCCUGCAACCAUCCACAG